Cinara cedri is the source of this 236-nucleotide non-coding RNA. The record is from the annotation of a GenBank genome assembly. Lineage: Eukaryota; Metazoa; Arthropoda; Insecta; Hemiptera; Aphididae.
CUCCUCGGGAUAAUUCAUUGCGACGGAAAAACGCGGACAUAAUAUAUUUCCCACCUUACGGGCAUGUACCUUAUAAGGUGCAACCUCUCGGGGCCCUCGAACCGUGGGUAUAUAAUAAUAGUAUUUUAUUAUUAUUUUCAAAUCGAAAGCGAUAAUAAAUCAUUGGGUUCGGAAAACGAUAAAUUUCAUAUCGCUAGCGGAGUUUUGAAUACUUGCAAUAAUUUUGACUACGAUGA